CCCUUAGAUGUCCUGGGCCGCACGCGCGCUACACUGAUGCAUUCAACGAGUCUAUCCUUGACCGACAGGUCCGGGUAAUCUUUGAAUCUGCAUCGUGACGGGGAUAGAUUAUUGCAAUUAUUAAUCUUCAACGAGGAAUGCCUAGUAGGCGCAAGUCAUCAGCUUGCGUCGAUUACGUCCCUGCCCUUUGUACACACCGCCCGUCGCUCCUACCGAUUGGGUGUGCUGGUGAAAUGUUCGGAUCGGCCGUUUGUCGCGGUUUCCGCGUCAUGUGGCUGAGAAGUUCAUUAAACCCUCCCACCUAGAGGAAGGAGAAGUCGUAACA
This 325-nucleotide ribosomal RNA is filed under the name uncultured eukaryote. RNAcentral describes it as "partial 18S ribosomal RNA". It matches the Rfam family "Eukaryotic small subunit ribosomal RNA", at positions 1470 to 1796 of the family's 1831-position model. The record is from RNAcentral.